This 67-nucleotide transfer RNA is filed under the name Cominella virgata brookesi. Its description in RNAcentral is "tRNA-Phe". The record is from RNAcentral. Lineage: Eukaryota; Metazoa; Mollusca; Gastropoda; Neogastropoda; Buccinidae.
CAUUGAUAGCUUAAAAUUUAAGAGCAUAGCACUGAAGAUGCUAAGGUAGCAAUACUGCUUCAAAGCA